Molecule: RNase P RNA, 500 nt
Filed under: Anaerolineae bacterium
Lineage: Bacteria; Bacillati; Chloroflexota; Anaerolineae
Description: RNase P RNA component class A
Rfam family: Bacterial RNase P class A
About the family: Ribonuclease P (RNase P) is a ubiquitous endoribonuclease, found in archaea, bacteria and eukarya as well as chloroplasts and mitochondria.
Source: RNAcentral
UGGGUCGACCGGGCGAUCACGGGCGGCUAUGACCGCCUGAGGAAAGUCCGCGCUCCACAGAGCACGGUGCCGGGUAACACCCGGGCGGGGUGACCCGCGGAAAGGACCACAGAAAAAGACCGCCUGGUCGAAUGGGUCUAGUGGAGUGUUUCUUUUCACUGGAGCUCAUUCGAUCGGGUAAGGGUGAAAAGGCGGUGUAAGAGACCACCGGCGUUGGCAGUAAUGUCAACGGCCAGGCAACCCCCAUCGGGAGCAAGGCCAAGCAGGAGCGAAAUCCGGAUACGGACGGGAGGUUGCUCGUCUUCCUUGAGCUCCGGGUAGGCCGCAUGAGCCCCACGGUGACGUGUGGGCCGAGAUAGAUGAUCGCUCAGAUCGAUACCUGAGGGAGGAAGGGUUAAUCCGGGAAAUACGUCAGACUAGCCUAGCGGUUUGGCAUUGGGUAAGCCCGUAAACCGCAUGUAUCUUUCGGACAGAACGCGGCUUAUAGGUCGAGCCUCAGU